UAGGGAAUCUUCGGCAAUGGGGGCAACCCUGACCGAGCAACGCCGCGUGAGUGAGGAAGGUUUUCGGAUCGUAAAGCUCUGUUGUAAGUCAAGAACGAGUGUGAGAGUGGAAAGUUCACACUGUGACGGUAGCUUACCAGAAAGGGACGGCUAACUACGUGCCAGCAGCCGCGGUAAUACGUAGGUCCCGAGCGUUGUCCGGAUUUAUUGGGCGUAAAGCGAGCGCAGGCGGUUAGAUAAGUCUGAAGUUAAAGGCUGUGGCUUAACCAUAGUAGGCUUUGGAAACUGUUUAACUUGAGUGCAGGAGGGGAGAGUGGAAUUCCAUGUGUAGCGGUGAAAUGCGUAGAUAUAUGGAGGAACACCGGUGGCGAAAGCGGCUCUCUGGCUUGUAACUGACGCUGAGGCUCGAAAGCGUGGGGAGCAAACAGGAUUAGAUACCCUGGUAGUCCACGCUGUAAACGAUGAGUGCUAGGUGUUAGACCCUUUCCGGGGUUUAGUGCCGUAGCUAACGCAUUAAGCACUCCGCCUGGGGAGUACGACCGCAAGGUUG
RNAcentral lists this ribosomal RNA (550 nucleotides) under uncultured bacterium. RNAcentral's name for it is "bacterial SSU rRNA". It matches the Rfam family "Bacterial small subunit ribosomal RNA", at positions 355 to 896 of the family's 1533-position model. The record is from RNAcentral.